This 100-nucleotide non-coding RNA is filed under the name Domibacillus iocasae. RNAcentral describes it as "Guanine sequence". It matches the Rfam family "Purine riboswitch aptamer". From Rfam's summary of the family: Riboswitches are metabolite binding domains within certain messenger RNAs that serve as precision sensors for their corresponding targets. Allosteric rearrangement of mRNA structure is mediated by ligand binding, and this results in modulation of gene expression. Lineage: Bacteria; Bacillati; Bacillota; Bacilli; Caryophanales; Bacillaceae. The record is from Rfam by way of RNAcentral.
GUAGAUGACAAUAAAGCACCUCAUAUAAUAGCGGGAAUAUGGCUCGCGAGUUUCUACCGGCUGCCGUAAACGGCCGACUAUGGGGGAGAGCAUUCGGCAU